UUGUUCCUACGGGACGCAGCAGUGGGGAAUAUUGCACAAUGGGGGAAACCCUGAUGCAGCGACGCCGCGUGAGUGAAGAAGUAGCUCGGUACGUAAAUCUCUAUCAGCAGGGAAGAAAAUGACGGUACCUGACUAAGAAGCCCCGGCUAACUACGUGCCAGCAGCCGCGGUAAUACGUAGGGGGCAAGCGUUAUCCGGAUUUACUGGGUGUAAAGGGAGCGUAGACGGCAGCAAAAGUCUGGAGUGAAAUCCCGGGGCUUAACCCCGGAACUGCUUUGGAAACUGGGGGGCUGGAGUGCAGGAGG
RNAcentral lists this ribosomal RNA (305 nucleotides) under uncultured bacterium. Its description in RNAcentral is "bacterial SSU rRNA". It matches the Rfam family "Bacterial small subunit ribosomal RNA", at positions 333 to 655 of the family's 1533-position model. The record is from RNAcentral.